CAGAGGGGGCAAGCGUUGUUCGGAAUUACUGGGCGUAAAGGGCGCGUAGGCGGCCUGUUAAGUCGAACGUGAAAUCCCCGGGCUCAACCCGGGAACUGCGUCCGAUACUGGCAGGCUUGAAUCCGGGAGAGGGAUGUGGAAUUCCAGGUGUAGCGGUGAAAUGCGUAGAUAUCUGGAGGAACACCGGUGGCGAAGGCGGCAUCCUGGACCGGUAUUGACGCUGAGGCGCGAAAGCCAGGGGAGCAAACGGGGAUUAGAUACCCCGGUAGUCCUGGCCCUAAACGAUGAAUGCUUGGUGUGGCGGGUAUCGAUCCCUGCCGUGCCGAAGCUAACGCAUUAAGCAUUCCGCCUGGGGAGUACGGUCGCAAGGCUG
RNAcentral lists this ribosomal RNA (373 nucleotides) under uncultured organism. Its description in RNAcentral is "bacterial SSU rRNA". It matches the Rfam family "Bacterial small subunit ribosomal RNA", at positions 526 to 896 of the family's 1533-position model. The record is from RNAcentral.